Molecule: non-coding RNA, 97 nt
Organism: Acanthosepion pharaonis
Lineage: Eukaryota; Metazoa; Mollusca; Cephalopoda; Sepiida; Sepiidae
Source: the annotation of a GenBank genome assembly
UAGAAACACUAGUUCUCAUCCAAUCAGCAAAGUUAAGCAGUGUUGAGGCUGAUCAGUACCUAGAUGAGUGACCGCUUGGGAAUAUCAGGUUCUGUAA